AACGAGAUCUGUAGCAAUACAGAUACUCGUGGCGAACGGGUGCGUAACACGUGGAUAACCUUCCUUUAGGUGGGGAAUAACCCAGUGAAAAUUGGGCUAAUACCGCAUAACAAGACGAGGACACAAGCUCUUGUCUUCAAAGGCGCAAGUCGCCAGAAGAGGGAUCCGCGGCCGAUUAGCUUGUUGGCGGGGUAACGGCCCACCAAGGCAAUGAUCGGUAGCCGGACUGAGAGGUUGGCCGGCCACACUGGAACUGAGACACGGUCCAGACUCCUACGGGAGGCAGCAGUGGGGAAUCUUGCGCAAUGGACGAAAGUCUGACGCAGCAACGCCGCGUGGGGGAUGAAGCUUCUCGGA
RNAcentral lists this ribosomal RNA (357 nucleotides) under uncultured bacterium. RNAcentral describes it as "bacterial SSU rRNA". It matches the Rfam family "Bacterial small subunit ribosomal RNA", at positions 65 to 422 of the family's 1533-position model. The record is from RNAcentral.